AACCUAACUUUGUAUAUACAUCACUUUACAAAGGAAUCAAUGGUAGAGAAUCUGAUGAGGUAAGAGGGGUUUCUUGAGUCAUUUUUGGUGGGUUUUUUUAAGGGUAUCCAUGUGAGUUAAUCAAGCAUGCCCUAGUGGGAUGGGUUUGGUAAUGAUGGAGUGUAUAUAUUUUGUACAUGUAUAUGACUUUGUUGCGACUUGUGAGGUUCUUGUGAGCUCUCUGUUUUGUAAUUUUCUACCCCUCUUUACCUGCAACCUUCCCUCCUU
This 267-nucleotide long non-coding RNA is filed under the name Actinidia chinensis (golden kiwifruit). RNAcentral describes it as "long non-coding RNA (ACHI_LNC001056)". The record is from RNAcentral. Lineage: Eukaryota; Viridiplantae; Streptophyta; Magnoliopsida; Ericales; Actinidiaceae.